This 85-nucleotide transfer RNA is filed under the name Felis catus (domestic cat). It matches the Rfam family "tRNA". From Rfam's summary of the family: Transfer RNA (tRNA) molecules are approximately 80 nucleotides in length. Their secondary structure includes four short double-helical elements and three loops (D, anti-codon, and T loops). Further hydrogen bonds mediate the characteristic L-shaped molecular structure. tRNAs have two regions of fundamental functional importance: the anti-codon, which is responsible for specific mRNA codon recognition, and the 3' end, to which the tRNAs corresponding amino acid is attached (by aminoacyl-tRNA synthetases). tRNAs cope with the degeneracy of the genetic code in two manners: having more than one tRNA (with a specific anti-codon) for a particular amino acid; and 'wobble' base-pairing, i.e. permitting non-standard base-pairing at the 3rd anti-codon position. Lineage: Eukaryota; Metazoa; Chordata; Mammalia; Carnivora; Felidae. The record is from Rfam by way of RNAcentral. RNAcentral also lists the same sequence under 4 other names.
ACCUGGGUGGCUCAGUUGGUUAAGCAUCUGACUUCAGCUCAGGUCAUGAUCUCAGGGUCUGUGGGUUUGAGCCCCAUGUCGGGUU